Molecule: ribosomal RNA, 468 nt
Filed under: uncultured bacterium
Lineage: Bacteria
Description: partial 16S ribosomal RNA
Rfam family: Bacterial small subunit ribosomal RNA
Source: RNAcentral
GACGAACGCUGGCGGCGUGCUUAACACAUGCAAGUCGAACGGAAAGGCCCUGCUUCUGUGGGGUGCUCGAGUGGCGAACGGGUGAGUAACACGUGAGUAACCUGCCCUUGACUUUGGGAUAACUUCAGGAAACUGGGGCUAAUACCGGAUAGGAGCUCCUGCUGCAUGGUGGGGGUUGGAAAGUUUCGGCGGUUGGGGAUGGACUCGCGGCUUAUCAGCUUGUUGGUGGGGUAGUGGCUUACCAAGGCUUUGACGGGUAGCCGGCCUGAGAGGGGGACCGGCCACAUUGGGACUGAGAUACGGCCCAGACUCCUACGGGAGGCAGCAGUGGGGAAUAUUGCACAAUGGGCGGAAGCCUGAUGCAGCAACGCCGCGUGCGGGAUGACGGCCUUCGGGUUGUAAACCGCUUUCGCCUGUGACGAAGCGUGAGUGACGGUAAUGGGUAAAGAAGCACCGGCUAACUACGUG